Molecule: ribosomal RNA, 484 nt
Filed under: uncultured bacterium
Lineage: Bacteria
Description: partial 16S ribosomal RNA
Rfam family: Bacterial small subunit ribosomal RNA
Source: RNAcentral
AUUGAACGCUGGCGGCAGGCCUAACACAUGCAAGUCGAGCGGAUGAAGGGAGCUUGCUCCUGGAUUCAGCGUCGGACGGGGGAGUAAUGCCUAGGAAUCUGCCUGGUAGUGGGGGAUAACGUCCGGAAACGGGCGCUAAUACCGCAUACGUCCUGAGGGAGAAAGUGGGGGAUCUUCGGACCUCACGCUCUCAGAUGAGCCUAGGUCGGAUUAGCUAGUUGGUGGGGUAAAGGCCUACCAAGGCGACGAUCCGUAACUGGUCUGAGAGGAUGAUAAGUCACACUGGAACGGAGACACGGUCCAGGCUCCUACGGGAGGCAGCAGUGGGGAAUAUUGGACAAUGGGCGAAAGCCUGAUCCAGCCAUGCCGCGUGUGUGAAGAAGGUCUUCGGAUUGUAAAGCACUUUAAGUUGGGAGGAAGGGCAGUAAGUUAAUACCUUGCUGUUUUGACGGUACCAACAGAAUAAGCACCGGCUAACUUCGUG